Non-coding RNA from Tannerella sp., 244 nucleotides. Lineage: Bacteria; Pseudomonadati; Bacteroidota; Bacteroidia; Bacteroidales; Tannerellaceae. The record is from Rfam.
UUAGAGAUUUGCAUCCGAUCGCUCGGUAGCUGCCCUUUGUCCCUGCCAUUGUAACACGUGUGUCGCCCCGGAUGUAAGGGCCGUGCUGAUUUGACGUCAUCCCAACCUUCCUCACAGCUUACUAAGGCAUAACUGACACUGAAGCACGAAAGCGUGGGUAUCAAACAGGAUUAGAUACCCUGGUAGUCCACGCAGUAAACGAUGAUUACUAGGAGUUUGCGAUAUAGUGUAAGCUCUACAGCGA